Molecule: ribosomal RNA, 426 nt
Filed under: uncultured bacterium
Lineage: Bacteria
Description: bacterial SSU rRNA
Rfam family: Bacterial small subunit ribosomal RNA
Source: RNAcentral
GGCCGCGGGAAUUCGAUUAGGCCUAACACAUGCAAGUCGAGCGAGAAAUUUGGUGCUUGCACUAAAUGGAAAGCGGCGAACGGGUGAGUAACACGUUGGUACCUGCCCCUAAGUCAGGGAUAGCCAUCGGAAACGAUGAUUAAUACCGGAUAGUCUCUUCGGAGUAAAAAUUUAUUGCUUAGGGAGGGGCCUGCGUUCUAUCAGCUUGUUGGUGAGGUAAUAGCUCACCAAGGCUAUGACGGAUACUUGGUCUGAGAGGAUGAUCAGGCACAAUGGAACUGAGACACGGUCCAUACUCCUACGGGAGGCAGCAGUGAGGAAUCUUCCACAAUGGACGAAAGUCUGAUGGAGCGACACCGCGUGAAGGAUGAAGGCCUAACGGUUGUAAACUUCUUUUCUGAAGGAGCAUAAUGAGAGUACUCAGGA